AGAAAACGCUGGGGGAGUUUCGACUGAGAGCGGCCAAUAUGGCUGUGACCCUUAGUACCUGAUCCGGGUAAUGCCGGCGUAGGGAAGCGCGAUGAAGUAACA
Molecule: non-coding RNA, 102 nt
Filed under: Geobacteraceae bacterium
Lineage: Bacteria; Pseudomonadati; Thermodesulfobacteriota; Desulfuromonadia; Geobacterales; Geobacteraceae
Description: TPP sequence
Rfam family: TPP riboswitch aptamer (THI element)
About the family: Vitamin B(1) in its active form thiamin pyrophosphate (TPP) is an essential coenzyme that is synthesised by coupling of pyrimidine and thiazole moieties in bacteria.
Source: RNAcentral